CAUGCUUCUUUAUAGUGCCAUA
RNAcentral lists this microRNA (22 nucleotides) under Strongyloides ratti. Its description in RNAcentral is "str-miR-1-5p". Its record names the gene str-miR-1-5p. Lineage: Eukaryota; Metazoa; Nematoda; Chromadorea; Rhabditida; Strongyloididae. The record is from miRBase by way of RNAcentral.